CUAGAGGUUGGCAAAGCACCUGCCACCUGGCAGGCACUCAGUGUUUGCUGAGUGCCCAAGCACACCUGUUCUUUUAGGAGUGGCUCUAGGGACAGUGCCAGGUGGGGAGUUGCCUGGGGUGGCACACCUGUCAGUCAGCAAUGCAGGUGUCCAGAGCAAGUUCAGGGGGGAAAGGCACCUCCUGUGGACCAGAAGGGCAAAAGCUCACUUGAUCUUGAUGUUCGGUAUGGACUCAGACCGUGAAAGAGGGCCUCACAGUCCUUCUGACUUUUUGGACUUUAAGCAGGAGGUGUCAGAAAAAUCACCACCUCUUGGCCACAGGACACAAUUAUGAGAGGGCCUUUACCUAACACAUGCAAGCAGUGUAACCUGCUUCUUUGUGCCCUCAAAGAUUCCCCAACAAUAAAAAAAAAAAAGUUAGCACAGAGAUAAUUGUCCCGUAACUGCCAAGCAUUCAUAGCCAUGCCACUUCCCCAUCCUUCAGCGUCACCUCUCCCUAUCAUAGUGAAGCAGAACUCACCAAGUGUCGGGUUGUUCACCCGCUAACAGGGAACGUGAGCUGGGUGGGCCGUCAUGAGCCAGGCUAGUUUCACUCUCUGG
RNAcentral lists this non-coding RNA (600 nucleotides) under Otolemur garnettii (small-eared galago). Its description in RNAcentral is "Archaeal large subunit ribosomal RNA". It matches the Rfam family "Eukaryotic large subunit ribosomal RNA", at positions 2555 to 2995 of the family's 3401-position model. The record is from Rfam by way of RNAcentral. Lineage: Eukaryota; Metazoa; Chordata; Mammalia; Primates; Galagidae.